Molecule: ribosomal RNA, 229 nt
Filed under: uncultured bacterium
Lineage: Bacteria
Description: partial 16S ribosomal RNA
Rfam family: Bacterial small subunit ribosomal RNA
Source: RNAcentral
CGUGUAGGCGGCUUGGUAAGUCGGAUGUGAAAGUCCCGGGCUCAACCCGGGAAGUGCAUUCGAAACUGCUAGGCUUGAGUAAGAGAGAGGAAAGUGGAAUUCCUGGAGUAGAGGUGAAAUUCGUAGAUAUCAGGAGGAACACCGGUGGCGAAGGCGACUUUCUGGCUCUAUACUGACGCUGAGACGCGAAAGCGUGGGUAGCAAACAGGAUUAGAUACCCUGGUAGUCC